AUGAUGGACUAUAGGACAGGACUGCUGCUUUUAACUAUCUGCUGGGCAGGUGUUGAUGGUCAGACUCUGACAGAAUCUGAACCAGCAGUUAAAAAGCCUGGAGAAUCUCACAAACUGACCUGUACAACAUCUGGAUUCACAUUCAGUAGCUACUGGAUGGCCUGGAUCAGACAGGCUCCUGGAAAAGGACUGGAGUGGAUUGCAGCUAUCAGCAAUGGUGGUGGUAGUAGCAAAUACUACUCUCAGUCAGUUCAAGGCCGGUUCACCAUCUCCAGAGACGACAGCAGAGAGCAGCUGUAUCUGCAGAUGAACAGUCUGAAGACUGAAGAUUCUGCUGUUUAUUAUUGUGCUCGAUAUCCACAGUGACUGAGUUUG
Non-coding RNA from Thunnus maccoyii (southern bluefin tuna), 375 nucleotides. The record is from the annotation of a RefSeq genome assembly. Lineage: Eukaryota; Metazoa; Chordata; Actinopteri; Scombriformes; Scombridae.